Molecule: ribosomal RNA, 504 nt
Filed under: uncultured bacterium
Lineage: Bacteria
Description: partial 16S ribosomal RNA
Rfam family: Bacterial small subunit ribosomal RNA
Source: RNAcentral
AUUGAACGCUGGCGGCAGGCCUAACACAUGCAAGUCGAACGGUAGCACAGAGAGCUUGCUCUCGGGUGACGAGUGGCGGACGGGUGAGUAAUGUCUGGGAAACUGCCCGAUGGAGGGGGAUAACUACUGGAAACGGUAGCUAAUACCGCAUAACGUCGCAAGACCAAAGUGGGGGACCUUCGGGCCUCACACCAUCGGAUGUGCCCAGAUGGGAUUAGCUAGUAGGUGGGGUAAUGGCUCACCUAAGCGACGAUCCCUAGCUGGUCUGAGAGGAUGACCAGCCACACUGGAACUGAGACACGGUCCAGACUCCUACGGGAGGCAGCAGUGGGGAAUAUUGCACAAUGGGCGCAAGCCUGAUGCAGCCAUGCCGCGUGUAUGAAGAAGGCCUUCGGGUUGUAAAGUACUUUCGGCGGGGAGGAAGGCGGUGAGGUUAAUAACCUUGCCGAUUGACGUUACCCGCAGAAGAAGCACCGGCUAACUCCGUGCCAGCAGCCGCCGUAA